Long non-coding RNA from Hibiscus syriacus, 939 nucleotides. RefSeq lists it as uncharacterized. The transcript is spliced from 3 exons. Lineage: Eukaryota; Viridiplantae; Streptophyta; Magnoliopsida; Malvales; Malvaceae. The record is from RefSeq and is a predicted model, not a curated record.
UCACCAAUAAAAAAAGGCUUUGGAUAUCUGCGUGAAGGCCAAAGGUUCAAAUCUCGGUCGUGAUCGUUGUAUCAUGGGUAUAACGGGUGUUAUUGUGGGUGUCACGAUCAAAUAAUAGCCUUUUCAGAUGACACUACUACCGUUAUAUCGUUGGCGCUAUCGCGAUCACAUACCGCCAUUUAAAUCCCUGGUUAAGGCUGCUGCUGGUGCCCCUGAUGUUCUUGGAGAUUGUCCUUUUUGCCAAAGGAUUCUUCUUACUUUGGAGGAAAAGAAGGUUCCUUACAAGUUGCACCUUGUCAAUCUCAGUGACAAACCCCAAUGGUUUUAGGAGACAAGUCCGGAAGGAAAGGUACCAGUGAAGUUUGAUGACAAAUGGAUGGCUGAUUCUGAUGUAAUUGUUGGAAUUCUUGAAGACAAGUUUCCUGAGCCUUCUCUCAAAACACCACCAGAAUCUGCCUCUGUGUAUGCAGUUUCUCACCUUAUAUUCUCUUUAAUUUCAUCUAUGAUUAUCCCUUUGUGUACUGUGAGCUUUGAUUUUUGUCGAUGGGAAUAAGUUUCGCUCGUCUGCAUUGGUGAUUCACCCCUUCUAGUUUGGGUGGAAAGUCACGACCGAUUUGGAGCUCUCGUCACAUUUUGAAGAGCAAAUAUGCAAAUGACGGAUCCGAGCAGGCUUUGGUUGAUGAACUGAAGGCGUUGGAUGAACAUCUUAAGGGACGUGUAAGUGAUGAUAAAUUGGACGUUCCUUUAACCGUUGCAUCUUUUGUCAUGCGAGUCUUCUUGAUUUUUCGAGCUAUAUGAUAUAUGAAUCAUGGUCCGUUCAUUGCCGGCGAAAAAGAUUACCGCUGCCGAUUUAGCUUUGGGACCAAAGCUAUACCAUCUUCAGAUCGCUCUCGGCCAUUUCAAGAAGUGGACUGUACCUGAAAGCUUGACUUCCGUCCA